This 404-nucleotide ribosomal RNA is filed under the name Actinomycetes bacterium. RNAcentral's name for it is "Actinobacteria bacterium partial 16S ribosomal RNA". It matches the Rfam family "Bacterial small subunit ribosomal RNA", at positions 355 to 776 of the family's 1533-position model. Lineage: Bacteria; Bacillati; Actinomycetota; Actinomycetes. The record is from RNAcentral.
UGGGGAAUAUUGGACAAUGGGCGCAAGCCUGAUCCAGCCAUGCCGCGUGAGUGAUGAAGGCCCUAGGGUUGUAAAGCUCUUUCACCGGUGAAGAUAAUGACGGUAACCGGAGAAGAAGCCCCGGAUAACUUCGUGCCAGCAGCCGCGGUAAUACGAAGGGGGCUAGCGUUGUUCGGAUUUACUGGGCGUAAAGCGCACGUAGGCGGACUUUUAAGUCAGGGGUGAAAUCCCGGGGCUCAACCCCGGAACUGCCUUUGAUACUGGAAGUCUUGAGUAUGGUAGAGGUGAGUGGAGUUCCGAGUGUAGAGGUGAAAUUCGUAAAUAUUCGGAGGAACACGAGUGGCGAAGGCGGCUCACUGGACCAUUACUGACGCUGAGGUGCGAAAGCGGGGGGUGCGAACAGG